GAUGAAGAACGUAGUGAAAUGCGAUACGUAAUGUGAAUUGCAGAAUUCAGUGAAUCAUCGAGUCUUUGAACGCACAUUGCGCCCCCUGGUAUUCCGGGGGGCAUGCCUGUCCGAGCGUCAUUGCUGCCCUCAAGCACGGCUUGUGUGUUGGGCCUCCGUCCUCCUCCCGGGGGACGGGCCCGAAAGGCAACGGCGGCACCGCGUCCGGUCCUCGAGCGUAUGGGGCUUCGUCACCCGCUCUUGUAGGCCCGGCCGGCGCUUGCCGACACAUCAAUCUUUUUUCCAGGUUGACCUCGGAUCAGGUAGGGAUACCCGCUGAACUUAAGCAUAUCAAUAAGCGGAGGA
RNAcentral lists this unclassified non-coding RNA (345 nucleotides) under soil metagenome. RNAcentral's name for it is "partial contains 5.8S ribosomal RNA, internal transcribed spacer 2, and large subunit ribosomal RNA". The stretch from base 1 to 120 matches the Rfam family "5.8S ribosomal RNA", at positions 35 to 154 of the family's 154-position model. The record is from RNAcentral.